UUUUCUUAGUCUUUUUUGUCAAUUUUAGGGUCAUAUUUGCAUAAGUCAUCAUUUAUCACUCUAUUAUGCUCCAUUUGUGUUUUUCUUAAUGUUUCAGGUGAUUUCAUAGUCAUUUGGACGCUUUUGAAGUGUUUGGAGAUAAUUUAGAUGAUAUUUGAAUGGAAAUCGAUGGAUCUAGUUCAUUAAGGGAGGGAUUUAUACUCAUGGAUGUUGUCUCUAAUGAUAUUAUGCAUGGGAAAUGAAUAUAGCAUCUACAAGGAUCGAUAUGCACUUUUCGGAAUUGAAUUUGAGUUAGAAACAAAGGAAUUUUUUUUUUACAGCAAACAAAAGAAAAUUAAUUCCCAGCACUGUUCCAAACUAAAGUAACACAAUGAAAACUUAAAAGCAACUUGCUAAUCCUAAUAAUUAUCAUCCUUGCUUUGUUAGAUCUUGUCAUCUCUCCCUAAGCCAUCUCACAAUAACAUGGUUCUUGACCUGUAUCUUAAUGUGCAGGAUCUUCGAGGAUGAGGCAUACUCAAUGCUGUUCAGCAGCACCAUCAGUUCGUCAGCUUCUUUUUUUUUCCAUUGUUGAGGCUGACUUCGUCUUCCAUGGCGAUCUCCCCUGCAAUUUUUGAGAAACCACCGCCCAAGCUUCCGUCCAUCCCUUGACUUGAUAUUCAAAACCCGGUGGUACCUCUUGCUCCAAGUCAGUGCAAAUUUCGCGAUCUUGGUGAUAUAUUGGGCCGUAUUGUAAUUUGCUAGCUAGGUACUCUAAUUUCUUUAGUGUGCUAUAAGGAUUUGGGUCUGAAUUUUGGAAAAUUUGCUUAUUUCUUGCUUCCCAGAUUCCUUCUAAAAUACCCAUGAAAAGUGGUUGUAUUUUGCUAAUUUCCUUAAUUUUGCUACAUAGAAAGUUUUGUUAAUUGAUAAUCCAAUCUGCAAUUGGAAUAUUCUCGUGAUUAUCAACAUUAAUUCCUAGUUUACUGCUCCUCCAGAUGAGACUUGCAAACUCACAAUCUCGGAAAAUGUGAUUUAAGGUUUCCAAUUUCCCCCCUGUGAGCUAUCCUUAGAUUUACAUAAUUGACAGUUAUGAUCCUCUCCUAGGUCCCUUUUCAAUCUUUCACUUCCUUUAGGUAAGGCAUUAUUGAAAAUUUUCCAUAACAAAAUUUUUUGCCUUGGUGAGUUAUCCUAUUUCCAGAACUUCCUCCAAAUUCGGUUUUUGUUUAGGUUGCUCCAAAUUUGAUUUUCGAUCACAUUUCCGUUACUUCUGCUUCCUAAAAUCGUAGCAUAACCACUCCUCACCGUAUAAUUAGCAUUUUUCUCCCCUUUUCAUACUAGCACAUCAUCGAAACCUUUCUCCAUGGGUGUUAUCUAAUCUAUGUUAGCAGUUGUUUCUUCCGCAAAACAGUGGUUGCACAAGUCAGGUUAACAUCCCACUCUCCCUAUUCUCUUAUGACAGAUAGUGCAUACUCUAUCAUUGGAGAAGAGCUCCUCAGAAUUCUAGGAAGGCGAUUAUCAGUUGAUCCAAGGAUGGUGAAUUUUAGUUUUGCCAAAAGCAACCUUUAUAAAGAACUUGUAAUCCCUAUUCUAUGACAUCCCAACCCCGAGUUCCAGCCUUUCUAUUCCAGGAUUCAUCAAACUAAGAGUCAUCACUUAUUCCAUGUUUUGCAGUAAACACCUUACUUAAAAGGGAAUCUUUAUCGUUUAGAAUACGCCAUCCCUGCUUAGCCAAUAAGGCUUGGUUGACAACCCGAGCAUGCUUGAUUCCUAAACCUCUUAACUCUUUUGGCAUGGUUAGAAUCCUCCAAUUUUUCUAAUAAACACCCUUCCUACUUCUAUUGCCCACCCAUCAAAAUUUAGCAACAAUGCUGUUAAUAUAUUUUAAUAAAUUAAAAGGGCACUUGAAAACUGAGAAAAUGUAGGUACCUAAAUUUGAAAGCACUGAGUUUAUCAAAGUUAAUCUUCCUGCAGAUGAAAGGAAGAGAGAGUUCCCCGCAUUAAGCCGCUCAUUAACUCUAUCCACAACACUUCCAAAGAUUUCUUUUUUUUGAGGAACCAAAAUUUGCAGGAAUACCAAAGUAGACUCCAAAUUUAUCACUCACUCUAACCCUGAGUAAAUUACUGAAUUUAUCCUUAUCAUCAGUGUUGAUGUUAGGGUUGUAUAAAAGAAUAGAUUUGUCCUCAUUGAUAACUUGACUAGAAGCUCUGCAGUAAGUAUUUAAAACAUCACCCAAGGCCUUAACACAUUUCUCGUUCCCCUGUAUAAAAAAGGCUGAAUCAUCUGCGAAUAACAAAUGUGUGAUCUUUAGGGCUCUUUAAGAAACUCACACCCCUGUGAUGUUUCCUUUCCUCUCCUCUUCUUGAAUUAACCCCAUAAGCCCUUCCAUACAUAGAAUAAAUAGGUAAGGAGACAAGGGAUCCUCCUGUAUACGACCACACUUUGGAGUGAAAGCUUCCUGCUUAUUUCCAUUAAUUAAAACUAUAAAGGAGACAGUAGUUACGCAGUUCAUGAUAGUUUUGAUCAUCAACUCAGGCAGCCCCACUUUAAUUCAUAUUUUUUCAAGGAAGUCCCACUUAAUUCUAUUGUAUGCUGAUAAAUCACAUUUAUAUAGAGUUUAUAGGCACAAUUAUGCUAGUUUUAUAAUUGUUUUUUUGAGUCUUUUAUUGUUUUUUAGGCCGCAAUUGCAUAAGUUGUCCUUUUUGUGCUCUAUUACGCUUCGUUUGUGUUUUUCUUAAUGUUUCAGGUAGUUUCUAUAACUAUUUGGACGCUUUCGAAGUGGUUUUGGAAGAAUCGGUCAAUGAAAGGAUGAAAAGUUGAUGAAUUGAGCUUAUUAAUCGAAGAUCUCAUGUUCGUGGAUGUUGACUAUGAGGAUUUUAUGCAUGAGAAAUGAAAAUAGCAUCCACAAUGAUCGUUAUGCACUUUUCGGAAUUGAAUUUGAGUUAGAAACGAAGUUAAACAAUGUUUUACAAAGUGGUAAAACUGGCUCUUAUUCACUCUUUUGAUCAUAACUUGAGUUCUACAGAUCGGAUUGAGGUGAUUCAAAUUGCGUUGAAAACUAGACUUGAAGAGAUUUCCAUUGAAAGGUCGCAAGACCCUAUACAGUUCCUAGAACGCGAGAUACAGCCCUUUGAAGUCAAGCCUACGAAGCUGCCAACCCAUCGCCCAGUCAUCGGGCGAUGGACGUGAUGUACGCUCGAGCGUGAGCUGCUGGUUGGGGCGAUGGUUUUCCAUCGCCCGAUGGUCGAGUGUCGUUCCGACCAUCGGCCACCCAUCGCCCGAUGGGUGGGGUGUGCGCGCAAGCGAUGAGAAAUCCUACAUCGAUUAUAACUCUUUCAAUCGACCAAUCAUAUCACGACUAUUGUAAUUGCUAUUUUUCUGAUUUUAUAUUUAUUUAUUUAUCUUUAGAUUAGUUUUAGGAUAAUAUAAAUACUCAAGGGAUUAUUUUUUUCCCUUAUGCCUUUUUAUACUUUUUAUUUUACGUUCGUUGUAGUUUUCUCUCGAACCCUAGUUUUUCAUGGCAUCUCCAUGGAUUCUUCCAUGGAUGAUUCUUGGGUUUACUAUUUUAAUUCAUUGAGGUAUUUUAUUUCUA
Molecule: long non-coding RNA, 3566 nt
Organism: Chenopodium quinoa (quinoa)
Lineage: Eukaryota; Viridiplantae; Streptophyta; Magnoliopsida; Caryophyllales; Amaranthaceae
Exons: 2
Source: RefSeq, a predicted model, not a curated record